AACGAACGCUGGCGGCAGGCUUAACACAUGCAAGUCGAGCGCCCCGCAAGGGGAGCGGCAGACGGGUGAGUAACGCGUGGGAACCUACCUAGAGGUGCGGAAUAACUCAGGGAAACUUGAGCUAAUACCGCAUGAGCCCGAGAGGGGAAAGAUUUAUCGCCUUUAGAUGGGCCCGCGUCAGAUUAGCUAGUUGGUGAGGUAACGGCUCACCAAGGCGACGAUCUGUAGCUGGUCUGAGAGGAUGAUCAGCCACAUUGGGACUGAGACACGGCCCAAACUCCUACGGGAGGAAGCAGUGGGGAAUAUUGGACAAUGGGCGCAAGCCUGAUCCAGCCAUGCCGCGUGAGUGAUGACGGCCUUAGGGUUGUAAAGCUCUUUCGACGGGGACGAUAAUGACGGUACCCGUAGAAGAAGCCCCGGCUAACUUCGUGCCAGCCGCCGCGGUAA
This 447-nucleotide ribosomal RNA is filed under the name uncultured bacterium. Its description in RNAcentral is "partial 16S ribosomal RNA". It matches the Rfam family "Bacterial small subunit ribosomal RNA", at positions 29 to 523 of the family's 1533-position model. The record is from RNAcentral.